This 456-nucleotide ribosomal RNA is filed under the name uncultured bacterium. RNAcentral describes it as "bacterial SSU rRNA". It matches the Rfam family "Bacterial small subunit ribosomal RNA", at positions 1036 to 1498 of the family's 1533-position model. The record is from RNAcentral.
AGGUGCUGCACGGCUGUCGUCAGCUCGUGUCGUGAGAUGUUGGGUUAAGUCCCGCAACGAGCGCAACCCUCGUGUUUAGUUACUAACAGUUCGGCUGAGGACUCUAAACAGACUGCCUGGGUAACCAGGAGGAAGGUGAGGACGACGUCAAGUCAUCAUGGCCCUUACGGCCAGGGCUACACACGUGCUACAAUGGGGUAUACAAAGAGCUGCAAUACGGUGACGUGGAGCAAAUCUCAUAAAAUAUCUCCCAGUUCGGAUUGAAGUCUGCAACUCGACUUCAUGAAGUUGGAAUCGCUAGUAAUCGUAGAUCAGCAAUGCUACGGUGAAUACGUUCCCGGGUCUUGUACUCGCCGCCCGUCACACCAUGGGAAUUGAAUUCAUUCGAAGCGGGGAUGCUAAAAUAGCUACCUUCCACAGUGGAUUUAGUAACUAGGGUGAAGUCGUAACAAGGUA